GCCGGAGUGGCGGAACGGCAGACGCAGGGGACUUAAAAUCCUCCGCUCCUCUUGGGGGCGUGCGGGUUCGAAUCCCGCCUCCGGCACCA
Molecule: transfer RNA, 89 nt
Filed under: Acidobacteriota bacterium
Lineage: Bacteria; Pseudomonadati; Acidobacteriota
Also listed under: 1 other name
Description: Acidobacteria bacterium tRNA-Leu
Rfam family: tRNA
About the family: Transfer RNA (tRNA) molecules are approximately 80 nucleotides in length. Their secondary structure includes four short double-helical elements and three loops (D, anti-codon, and T loops).
Source: RNAcentral